CACGUAGGAGGCAAACGUUAUCCGGAUUUACUGGGGCGUAAAGCGCAUGUAGGUGGUUCUGUAAGUAGGGCGUGAAAGCUCCCGGCUCAACUGGGAGAGGCCGUUCUAAACUGCAGAGCUAGAGGAUGGUAGAGGGAGGUGGAAUUCCAGGUGUAGCGGUGGAAUGCGCAGAUAUCUGGAGGAACACCAGUGGCGAAGGCGGCCUCCUGGACCAUUCCUGACACUCAGACGCGAAAGCUAGGGUAGCAAACGGGAUUAGAUACCCGGGUAGU
This 272-nucleotide ribosomal RNA is filed under the name uncultured prokaryote. RNAcentral's name for it is "partial 16S ribosomal RNA". It matches the Rfam family "Bacterial small subunit ribosomal RNA", at positions 524 to 794 of the family's 1533-position model. The record is from RNAcentral.